AUAAACAAUUUGCUUUCUUAAAAGUUAGAAGCUUUU
Molecule: transfer RNA, 36 nt
Filed under: Plateros sp. UPOL A00634
Lineage: Eukaryota; Metazoa; Arthropoda; Insecta; Coleoptera; Lycidae
Description: partial tRNA-Ser
Source: RNAcentral